GAUGAAGAACGCAGCGAAAUGCGAUAAGUAAUGUGAAUUGCAGAAUUCAGUGAAUCAUCGAAUCUUUGAACGCACAUUGCGCCCGCCAGCAUUCUGGCGGGCAUGCCUGUUCGAGCGUCAUUUCAACCCUCGAGCCCCCCCGGGGGCCUCGGUGUUGGGGGACGGCACACCAGCCGCCCCCGAAAUGCAGUGGCGACCCCGCCGCAGCCUCCCCUGCGUAGUAGCACACACCUCGCACCGGAGCGCGGAGGCGGUCACGCCUUAAAACGCCCAACUUUCUUAGAGUUGACCUCGGAUCAGGUAGGAAUACCCGCUGAACUUAAGCAUAUCAAUAAGCGGAGGA
This 343-nucleotide unclassified non-coding RNA is filed under the name soil metagenome. RNAcentral's name for it is "partial contains 5.8S ribosomal RNA, internal transcribed spacer 2, and large subunit ribosomal RNA". The stretch from base 1 to 120 matches the Rfam family "5.8S ribosomal RNA", at positions 35 to 154 of the family's 154-position model. The record is from RNAcentral.